AAAUCCUGUCUGAAUAAGGUUUAGCCAACCAACAGUAGUGAGUCUUGAGCUGUCAUCAGUAAUGAUGGGAGUUAAGCGUAGACAGCGAGCAAGUAGGGUUGCAAUGCGAUUGAGCCACGAAAGGUUUCUUAAAUCAGAGGGCUGACAUGGUAAUUCACAUGGAAAGCAACAUCAUACAGAGCGUAAUGGCGAGUUCUGCAUGGCACUGCGGGGUCAAAGAGC
This 222-nucleotide non-coding RNA is filed under the name uncultured Phocaeicola sp. The record is from RNAcentral. Lineage: Bacteria; Pseudomonadati; Bacteroidota; Bacteroidia; Bacteroidales; Bacteroidaceae.